Molecule: long non-coding RNA, 917 nt
Organism: Mercenaria mercenaria
Lineage: Eukaryota; Metazoa; Mollusca; Bivalvia; Venerida; Veneridae
Exons: 3
Source: RefSeq, a predicted model, not a curated record
UCCCAAUUUAACGCUAUCCCUACUUUGACAUGUUAUAUUCCAAAUGUAUUUAUUGAUACUGUGUACAUUUUUUGUCAUUUCUGAUGUCUUUAACAGUUGUUUUAUGUGUGUUUUUCAGGAUUACAUUUCUGUGCGGAAGGAUUAAAAAACUACACCAGACUGGUGGCCAUGACAGAUGUCAGUGGGAAAUUUAAACAUGGACUAGAUACUUUGAUGUGUAGCAAAAAAGUUCAUCGUUGAUGGUGGUGUUUUUCUGUGAUAUAUUGACUGGGAUAGUAUUACUCUUCAGAAAUACAGAGCUGUCAAUGCUGCAAUUUUGUUGUGAAAUUCACAAUCCAUGUCCAAAAGUGCUUGUUUUACUAUACAGCAAAGAAGGAGAAAUUGUACCGGGCCGACACCAAUAUGGCAAAUUCAGAAAGUGGAAUAUCUCAGCAACCAUAGGGUUUACAGUCAUGAAACUUCACACACUAGUAGCUGAUAACAAUACAAAUUAGUGGCUAAAAGGAUAUUUCCAAGGCGAUGAAUUCCAUAUGUCAGAAGGAAAUUUAGAAUCGUACAACCAGUCAGCAGCUACCCAUAAACCAGACCAACCUAUUAAGUCGAGCGGGCAGAAGCUGUGAUUCCCAGUGUAACACCGCAGAAUGACGGCUAGUUUUCGGAUUACAUUUCUGUGCGGAAGGAUUAAAAAACUACACCAGACUGGUGGCCAUGACAGAUGUCAGUGGGAAAUUUAAACAUGGACUAGAUACUUUGAUGUGUAGCAAAAAAGUUCAUCGUUGAUGGUGGUGCUUUUCUGUGAUAUAUUGACUGGGAUAGUAUUACUCUUCAGAAAUACAGAGCUGUCAAUGCUGCAAUUUUGUUGUGAAAUUCACAAUCCAUGUCCAAAAGUGCUUGUUUUACUAUACAGCAAAGAAGGA